Megachile rotundata (alfalfa leafcutting bee) is the source of this 1701-nucleotide long non-coding RNA. The record is from RefSeq and is a predicted model, not a curated record. NCBI's taxonomy places the organism in Eukaryota, Metazoa, Arthropoda, Insecta, Hymenoptera, Megachilidae.
AGUCGUUUAAUGGUCGACAAUUAACGAUGAAAAGGACCUCGAAGACACGCUUUCAUCGAGAAGCGACGUUCGAUAUUAAUUUCAGAAUGAUCAGUAGGAAACAUUCUAUACUUGGAAUAUAUUCCGAAGAUCUUCAAUCGAUCACCUCAAAGAGACGAUAAAAAUUAUUCACGAAGAACACCUGUCACAUGUGCUCACGCCGUGUCCUCGCGAAGAUCAGGCAUCGAUUACACUCCUUCGAGAGUUAAUUAACCAAUCAAACUGACGGUGGAAUUUGAAAGAAUGCCGUCACGUGUCCUGUGACUAAUUGCUAUUUCCUUUUCGACGAACGAUCGAUCAUCUUUAUGGAUUUUAUACUUUGUCCAAGUUCGUGUAUGAAUCGUUUACUUAGAAUCCAGCGGAAUGAUUCGACAGAGGACUUAAAAAUAGCUCCAUGGAACUAUCCUCAAGAUUCGUUCACAAAGCGACACGCCUGUUUAGAUUCUCCUUUGACGAUAUAACUCACAAUCACUCCAUUAACUAAUUACCUUUAAUGAUUUCUCUCCAUAGAAAGUAUACGUACAUAAAUAUCAUAAACGAGAAGAAUCCUUAUUAAACCAGCUUAACAUGACUUGCUGUACGUGGAGAAUGGCAUUAAAUAUUUGAAGGAAGAAUCGAUAGUAAAAUAUUCUUGUCGCAGAUCUAUUAUUAUCGCCAAAUAUUCCGGAAAAAAGCCAGGCAAAGUAAAGUGGCCAUUGCGAUUCAGGAUGAGUCCGAACACGAGAAAACACGGUGAAUACGGAAUUUCCGAUAUCAAGUGUAAAGCAAAAAAGAGACGAGCUAUGCGACUGCCAAGUGACCUUGUACAAGAUGCAAUUGAAGAGUAGGAUAGUCAUGCAAGUAGACUGUUUUAUUUGUUUCCUAAUUGACCAAUAACACACAGUAACCAUAAACGUCUCAAAGGGUCGAGGAAUCAAAAUCCAAGAAGCGUUGAAGAAGCAAAGGACCUCAAUCAAUUUUAUGUCCCCUGGAUCAAGCGAUUGUCAGUGGCAAAGAUAAAGAGAGAGACAAGAGAGCAAAGAGAAGAGGACCAUGCGAUGCACCUGCUCUCAGGUGUACGUCCGCACCUUCCAUCCGCGCGUGCAAUGCAUCUCUUUCCUCUCCCUUUUUCUCUCGUGCAAUCUCGCUUCUCCUGCAUCAGCGAAUGUGCAAGCUGGUCGAUGUUAAUCCUUAGUUAAGGAUUCCACGACUAACGCUGAUAGUCUCGGGGAGACUAUGGGCCUAUAGUUCGAUGGGGUCUUUGGUAUGCCACCAGAGAAACUUCAGAGUCUGCUACGAGAUCCUUGAUACGUAAUUGCGAGGUCAGGUAUGCGACACACCUCAAGUUUGAACAGCAAUGAACUAAACGCUUCGAUUAUGUCCGGUUUACCGUGAAACCUUGACAAAAAAACAAAUAGCAUUCGUUCGAGGCGUGUUGGUGACACCAGUCUCGGUUCAUCCAUUAUUCACCGUUCAUCCAUUUACUUCAUUUACCUCGUUCACUUGGUCGUGUCGGCGCAAAAAACCAGCAACCGGACACACUCGUAACGCGUCACUAUCCAAGGAAUGCAUCGCAGAAAAUAAACUCAACGCACGGGAUGUCAUUACCAAGAAAAUGGUUUUUUUCCAUCUAUGCUCCUAGAUUUGUAGCAUUACAAAAUGUCUUUGUUAACGCACAUAAUU